This 464-nucleotide ribosomal RNA is filed under the name Anguillosyllis capensis. RNAcentral describes it as "partial 16S ribosomal RNA". It matches the Rfam family "Bacterial large subunit ribosomal RNA", at positions 1828 to 2597 of the family's 2925-position model. The record is from RNAcentral. Lineage: Eukaryota; Metazoa; Annelida; Polychaeta; Phyllodocida; Syllidae.
AGCUUAUUGGGCAUUUGUAAUAGGUGUUUUCUGCCCACUGUUGAUAAUAAACGGCUGCGUUAUUUUGAGCGUACUAAGGUAGCAUAAUAAUUUGCUUCUUAAUUAGAAGCUUGAAUGAAUGGAAUGAUGAGGUUUUUACUGUCUCGUAUUUUUUAAUAAAAAUUAAUCUCCAGGUGAAGAGGCUUGGAUAUUUUUGAAAGACAAGAAGACCCUGUCGAGCUCUCCUUAUAUAAAAAUAAAGGUUAAUUGGGGCGAUUAGAGAGAUUAAUAUCCUCUCUUUAUGGAAGAGGGGUUCUUUUUUAAGAUCCGUGUUAUACGAAUUAAGAUUAGCUACCGCAGGGAUAACAGGCUAAUUUUUUCUUAAAGUUCAAAUUUACGAAAAAGUUUGGCACCUCGAUGUUGGCUUAGGGACCUAUAUUUGCGUAGAAGUAAAUAAUAGUGGUUUGUUCAACCAUAAGACCCCU